RNAcentral lists this non-coding RNA (115 nucleotides) under Pseudonocardia sp. Its description in RNAcentral is "SAM-IV sequence". It matches the Rfam family "SAM (S-adenosyl methionine) riboswitch aptamer". Rfam says of the family: SAM-IV is a mRNA element that regulates gene expression via direct sensing of S-adenosylmethionine (SAM or AdoMet). The record is from RNAcentral. Lineage: Bacteria; Bacillati; Actinomycetota; Actinomycetes; Pseudonocardiales; Pseudonocardiaceae.
GGUCAAGAGCGCCAGCGUCAAGCCCCGGCUCGCUGGCCGGCAACCCUCCUCCGCGGUGGGGUGCUCCGGGUGACGACCAGGCCGUCGCGACAAUCGCGAACGGCAAGCGCGGACC